This 492-nucleotide ribosomal RNA is filed under the name uncultured bacterium. RNAcentral's name for it is "bacterial SSU rRNA". It matches the Rfam family "Bacterial small subunit ribosomal RNA", at positions 8 to 474 of the family's 1533-position model. The record is from RNAcentral.
AGAGUUUGAUCAUGGCUCAGAAUGAACGCUGGCGGCGUGCUUAACACAUGCAAGUCGAACGAGAAAGGGAUUGCUUGCAAUCCUGAGUAGAGUGGCGCACGGGUGAGUAACACGUAGAUAAUCUACCUUCGAUUUUGGGAUAACCAUCCGAAAGGAUGGCUAAUACCGGAUAAGGUUUUAAUACGCAAGCAUAGAGAUGAAAGUAUGCCUCUUCUUGAAAGCAUAUGAUUGGAGAUGAGUCUGCGGACCAUUAGCUAGUUGGUGGGGUAAGAGCCUACCAAGGCAACGAUGGUUAGCUGGUCUGAGAGGAUGAUCAGUCACACUGGAACUGGAACACGGUCCAGACUCCUACGGGAGGCAGCAGUGAGGAAUUUUGCGCAAUGGGGGAAACCCUGACGCAGCAACGCCGCGUGAGUGAAGGAGGCCUUUGGGUCGUAAAGCUCUGUUAACUGGGAAGAAAUUACAACGAUCCAAUAGGUGGUUGUAUUGACG